Molecule: ribosomal RNA, 253 nt
Filed under: uncultured bacterium
Lineage: Bacteria
Description: partial 16S ribosomal RNA
Rfam family: Bacterial small subunit ribosomal RNA
Source: RNAcentral
UACGAAGGGGGCUAGCGUUGUUCGGAAUCACUGGGCGUAAAGGGCGCGUAGGCGGCCGAUCAAGUCGGGGGGGAAAGCCUGUGGCUCAACCACAGAAUUGCCUUCGAUACUGUUUGGCUUGAGACCGGAAGAGGUUAGUGGAACUGCGAGUGUAGAGGUGAAAUUCGUAGAUAUCGGGAGGAACACCAGUGGCGAAGGCGGCGACCUGGGCCAAUAUUGACGCUGAGGUGCGAAAGCGUGGGGAGCAAACAGG